Molecule: transfer RNA, 74 nt
Filed under: Verrucomicrobiia bacterium Tous-C4TDCM
Lineage: Bacteria; Pseudomonadati; Verrucomicrobiota; Verrucomicrobiia
Also listed under: 5 other names
Description: Verrucomicrobiae bacterium Tous-C4TDCM tRNA-Gly
Rfam family: tRNA
About the family: Transfer RNA (tRNA) molecules are approximately 80 nucleotides in length.
Source: RNAcentral
GCGGGUGUCGUUCAAUGGUAGGACGCGAGCUUCCCAAGCUUGAGACCGGAGUUCGAUUCUCCGUACCCGCACCA